AAAUAAGAAGUAAAAAUUACAUUUAGUUUCGACCUAAAAUCUUGAUGGUACACAUCCUUAUUUA
RNAcentral lists this transfer RNA (64 nucleotides) under Nectoporus sanmarkii. RNAcentral's name for it is "tRNA-Arg". The record is from RNAcentral. Lineage: Eukaryota; Metazoa; Arthropoda; Insecta; Coleoptera; Dytiscidae.